RNAcentral lists this ribosomal RNA (492 nucleotides) under uncultured bacterium. RNAcentral describes it as "partial 16S ribosomal RNA". It matches the Rfam family "Bacterial small subunit ribosomal RNA", at positions 29 to 507 of the family's 1533-position model. The record is from RNAcentral.
AGUGAACGCUGGCGGUAGGCCUAACACAUGCAAGUCGAACGGCAGCACAGUAAGAGCUUGCUCUUACGGGUGGCGAGUGGCGGACGGGUGAGGAAUACAUCGGAAUCUACUUUUUCGUGGGGGAUAACGUAGGGAAACUUACGCUAAUACCGCAUACGACCUACGGGUGAAAGCAGGGGAUCUUCGGACCUUGCGCGAUUGAAUGAGCCGAUGUCGGAGUAGCUAGUUGGCGGGGUAAAGGCCCACCAAGGCGACGAUCCGUAGCUGGUCUGAGAGGAUGAUCAGCCACACUGGCACUGAGACACGGUCCAGACUCCUACGGGAGGCAGCAGUGGGGAAUAUUGGACAAUGGGCGCAAGCCUGAUCCAGCCAUACCGCGUGGGUGAAGAAGGCCUUCGGGUUGUAAAGCCCUUUUGUUGGGAAAGAAAAGCAGCAGGUUAAUACCCCGCUGUUCUGACGGUACCCAAAGAAUAAGCACCGGCUAACUUCGUG